RNAcentral lists this ribosomal RNA (489 nucleotides) under uncultured bacterium. RNAcentral describes it as "partial 16S ribosomal RNA". It matches the Rfam family "Bacterial small subunit ribosomal RNA", at positions 28 to 523 of the family's 1533-position model. The record is from RNAcentral.
GAUGAACGCUGGCGGCGUGCCUAACACAUGCAAGUCGAGCGCUGGACAUUUGAAUGCUUGCAUUCAAAUGUUUGGAGCGGCGGACGGGUGAGUAACGCGUGGGUAACCUGGCCUUUACAGAGGAAUAACAAUCAGAAAUGGUUGCUAAUGCCUCAUAAGCUCCCGGUAUCGCAUGAUACAGAGAGAAAAGAUUUAUCGGUAAGGGAUGGACCCGCGUCUGAUUAGCUAGUUGGUAGGGUAAAGGCCUACCAAGGCGACGAUCAGUAGCCGGCCUGAGAGGGUGAACGGCCACAUUGGGACUGAGACACGGCCCAAACUCCUACGGGAGGCAGCAGUGGGGAAUAUUGCACAAUGGGGGAAACCCUGAUGCAGCAACGCCGCGUGAAGGAAGAAGGCUUUCGGGUCGUAAACUUCUUUAGAUGGUGAAGAAAAAAAUGACGGUAGCCAUAGAAUAAGCCCCGGCUAACUACGUGCCAGCAGCCGCGGUAA